AAACCCUGGCGGCCUUUAACAUUCUCCCUGACGCAGAGAACCCUGCGCCAACAGGGCCUUCCACUUCUGGAGAAUCGAAUGCUAUCCGGUCCCCAGCUUCCGUCUUCCAGACGAAGAAUCGAUGAGGAGGAGUAGGGGGCCCUGGCCAGGCCCGCAAGAAAGGGCCCAGUUAGGAGGGGCCUUAGAGCCACGAGGGUUCCACUGCUUUGAUGGCCACACUCUUUUGCAAACGGACACAAGACCUGAGCGCUUACUCACGUGGCUCCCCAAUCCUUUCCGAGUCCAUGUCCAAGACUGCCUCAGAGGGACCCCCAGGAGGCUCCGAUACAUCCUGCCUUCUGUCACCUCCACCGCCACCAGCGUUGUGAACCUCUGACCCUCGCGGCUCCGGGUCCAUUCUCAGGCUCCGCAGACAAACCCAAGCUCUGAGACAGACGCCCAGCGUCCCAGACCGCGCCUUCCUCUGGACCAUCCCGGCGGGCCUGGGUCCAGGGCCGGGUGACGAGACCACAGCCCCCCAUUGGUUCUCGCAGAAACCACGUGCUAACCCUGCACCUUCCUCCCCCAGCGCUUUCUUCUCUCGCCCGUCUAAUCCUCUUCAGUCCUCAGUCGCCUUCCUGGGAGGUUUGGUUCUUAUUGACAGUUCUCAAAAAUUAAGAAAACGUGGAGAGUGCUGUGUGCGGCUCGGAUCUUCGUCAAUACGGUACUAGCGGGAGCUUCCGAGGUCAACCUAGGGUCCACUGGGACCGUCCUGGAGGACGUGCGGGGAUAGGGGGUGGAGUCCUUUCUGUGCAACCCGAUCCCGUCCAUCCAGCCUGGUCUUAGCUCAACUCUGCAUUCUUACGGCAGAGGAAAGCUAGGACAGAGACAGCUGGGGGCCCGCGGGAUUUGAGAUGCCCACUGGGAUCUUGCCAGCGCAGAGGCCGGACCGCCUGUAUUGAGGUGGAAGCCUCUCUUCGAACCGAGUCCAGGUCUGCGGAGUCUCGACCCGCCACUUCCCAGGAGCAGUGUCUCAGCCUCAAGACCGAGAAAUGGGUGUAGGGGCUACAUCUAGGGAGCCCUCGGCCUUUUAGAGGGUGGGGGAGAAGGGAAGGCCAUCGCUGCGGCCCGUGCAAAGUGG
This is a long non-coding RNA of Callithrix jacchus (white-tufted-ear marmoset), 1120 nucleotides long. RefSeq lists it as uncharacterized. The record is from RefSeq and is a predicted model, not a curated record. NCBI's taxonomy places the organism in Eukaryota, Metazoa, Chordata, Mammalia, Primates, Cebidae.